CGACCGCUGGCGGCGUGCUUACCACAUGCACGUCGAACGGAAAGGCCCUGCUUUUGUGGGGUGCUCGAGUGGCGAACGGGUGAGUAGCACGUGAGUAACCUGCCCUUGACUUUGGGAUAACUUCAGGAAACUGGGGCUAAUACCGGAUAGGAGCUCCUGCUGCAUGGUGGGGGUUGGAAAGUUUCGGCGGUUGGGGAUGGACUCGCGGCUUAUCAGCUUGUUGGUGGGGUAGUGGCUUACCAAGGCUUUGACGGGUAGCCGGCCUGAGAGGGUGACCGGCCACAUUGGGACUGAGAUACGGCCCAGACUCCUACGGGAGGCAGCAGUGGGGAAUAUUGCACAAUGGGCGGAAGCCUGAUGCAGCAACGCCGCGUGCGGGAUGACGGCCUUCGGGUUGUAAACCGCUUUCGCCUGUGACGAAGCGUGAGUGACGGUAAUGGGUAAAGAAGCACCGGCUAACUACGUG
This 466-nucleotide ribosomal RNA is filed under the name uncultured bacterium. RNAcentral's name for it is "partial 16S ribosomal RNA". It matches the Rfam family "Bacterial small subunit ribosomal RNA", at positions 30 to 507 of the family's 1533-position model. The record is from RNAcentral.